This 442-nucleotide ribosomal RNA is filed under the name uncultured bacterium. RNAcentral describes it as "partial 16S ribosomal RNA". It matches the Rfam family "Bacterial small subunit ribosomal RNA", at positions 338 to 795 of the family's 1533-position model. The record is from RNAcentral.
UCUACGGGUGGCAGCAGUAGGGAAUCUUUCACAAUGGGCGAAAGCCUGAUGGAGCAACGCCGCGUGCAGGAUGAAGGCCUUCGGGUUGUAAACCGCUUUUAUAAGCGAGAAAUAUGAUGGUAACUUAUGAAUAAGGAUCGUCUAACUACGUGCCAGCAGCCGCGGUCAUACGUAGGGGGCGAGCCUUAUCCGGAGUGACUGGGUGUAAAGAGUUGCGUAUGGGGGAUAACUAGUAGCUAGUGAAAACUGGUGGCUCAACCAUUCAGACUAUUAGCUAAACUGUUAAGCUUGAGACCGUUAGGGGUAACUGGAAUUUCUAGUGUAGGAGUGAAAUGCGUAGAUAUUAGGAAGAACACCAAUAGCGAAGGCAGGUUGCUGGGACGGUACUGACACUAAGGCACGAAAGCGUAGGGAGCAAACGGGAUUAGAUACCCCUGUAGUC